Molecule: long non-coding RNA, 567 nt
Organism: Oncorhynchus tshawytscha (Chinook salmon)
Lineage: Eukaryota; Metazoa; Chordata; Actinopteri; Salmoniformes; Salmonidae
Source: Ensembl
GUAAUUCUCAGUAGCCAAUCAUUUACAGUUGCCAUGGUUAUGAGAGAUGUCACCUCCAGCAGUGUUUCUUAGAGACCUUAUGGUAUAUUUUCCAUGUGGAGUGUGAGUUAAGACAGAUUUUAAUUACAUAUAUAGCAGGGAGACAUUGCUGACCAGUUACGAGAGCCAUUCACACUUUUCUCCUUUUCGACAAAUGUUUAUCAAUACCCUGCUUUUAUACAUUAGGGUUAUCUUCACUGGAUUGAUCGCUGGUCACAGUGAAGGGCGACAAGAUGGAGGCCCCUGCCAGACAACACUCAUAAAUCCUGAAUGACGCAGAUUGAAAAGACCUACAGCUAAGGCCAUUAGAAUCGAUGGAAGAACUGGGAACACGGACACAGAGUCAUGUUAACGCAAUCUCCCAGAGAGGGUGCAAGAUGGCCGAUGGCGAGAUGACGUGAGGCAGAAAGAAGGGCUAGAUGUUCAAACUCUCACUGACAUCUGUGAAAUACAAGCCGAGUUCACUAGAUGAAUGUGUACUGUGUCUUCCUGUCCUUCUUGGGUCCACACACAUCGCAGCGCUUCUUC